AGUAAUGUGAAUUGCAGAAUUCAGUGAAUCAUCGAAUCUUUGAACGCACAUUGCGCCCUGUGGUAUUCCGCAGGGCAUGCCUGUUCGAGCGUCAUUUAACCACUCACGCUUAGCGUGGUAUUGGAGCACGCGGUCUCGCGGCCCUCAAAAUUAGUGGCGGCGCCGGUGGGCUCUAAGCGUAGUACAUACUCCCGCUAUAGAGUUUCUCCGGUGGCUCGCCAGAACCCCCAAUUUUGUUACAGGUUGACCUCGGAUCAGGUAGGGAUACCCGCUGAACUUAAGCAUAUCAAUAAGCGGAGGAAAAGAAACCAACAGGGAUUACCUCAGUAAC
Molecule: ribosomal RNA, 331 nt
Filed under: uncultured Helotiales
Lineage: Eukaryota; Fungi; Ascomycota; Leotiomycetes; Helotiales
Description: eukaryotic LSU rRNA
Rfam family: Eukaryotic large subunit ribosomal RNA (bases 245-331)
Source: RNAcentral